GAUGAAGAACGCAGCGAAAUGCGAUAAGUAAUGUGAAUUGCAGAAUUCAGUGAAUCAUCGAAUCUUUGAACGCACCUUGCGCCCUUUGGACAUUCCGAAGGGCAUGCCUGUUUGAGUAUCAUGAACACCUCAACUCUCACGGCUUGUCCGUGAUGAGCUUGGACUUUGGGGGUCUUGCCGGCCUGUGGUCGGCUCCUCUCAAAUGGAUCAGCUUGCCAGUGUUUGGUGGCAUCACAGGUGUGAUAACUAUCUGCGCUUGUGGUUUUCCAUCAGAUAACCUUCAGUGAUAUGGAGGUUCGCUGGAGCUCACAAAUGUCUCUCCUUAGUGAGGACAGCUCUUUGAACGUUUGAUCUCAAAUCAGGUAGGACUACCCGCUGAACUUGAGCAUAUCAAUAAGCGGAGGA
This 405-nucleotide unclassified non-coding RNA is filed under the name soil metagenome. RNAcentral's name for it is "partial contains 5.8S ribosomal RNA, internal transcribed spacer 2, and large subunit ribosomal RNA". The stretch from base 1 to 121 matches the Rfam family "5.8S ribosomal RNA", at positions 35 to 154 of the family's 154-position model. The record is from RNAcentral.